CUGAUUUUAUCACUUCCGUUGACGAGUCUUGUGUCAGCAUCUUGAUGCGAGGUACAACUUCUAGGUGAUCUUCUUCAUGUUUUACGUUGUUGUACUUUUUGCUGCAAUGUGGACGUACAUAUUCUAGCAGAUAUAUCUUCAUGCUUUACCUUGUUUACCACUGCCCUGAUGUGGAGGUACAGAUUCUAGCUGAUAUAUAUCGUCAUGUUUUACCUUUUACCAACAUCCAAGAUUUUUGUUUCCUCAUUUCUUUCAAUUAGAUAGAAGAUGGGACGUGCUUUGUUGUAGUUUCCUCUUACUUUGACUAAGUAGGACAUUUUUUUGAAAUACCAAAUUGUGGUGUCGCUACCCCUACGCACCACGGUUUUGCAGCACCCUCAGCUAAAGUAAACCAUUCCAAGCCUACCAUACUCGAAACAUGGAAGCAUGCAAACUUCAGAGCAUCUUGGUGUCGCUGGCCACCCGAUCUCUACAACCACCACAAAAUGCUACAGGACCAACCAGGCCGGUGUCCUGACCACUGAAUCAUGUCACUGUGUGGGCGCCUAGAUCUCCCAUGUGUCUGUCUAAAGCCUGAGGGGCCAACCUCGCUCGAGCGUCGCCAGCCAGCACUCAUCUGCACAUGAACAAAUGGUUGGAUAUAUGUGCCUCCUCCGUCUCUUAUUCCCCGAAACAUAAUUUGAUGAGUAGAGUUUCUAAUCAUUUAUGGCACACUGGCAUAUGAUUAAACUGCACAAGUUAGAUUGACAUUUUGUGGAGAACGGUCGUCGGUUGGGAGCCUCGCCGUCUACCUCCACCAGCCGGCCCACACACCAUUGCUCCCCGCGUGUCGCGCCCCUCCCCGAACCAUCAUGCCUUCUAAUUAGUGUACGUGGUAGUCUGGUAAAAGUGGAGAAUAAUUCGGGUAAUGUCUAUGGAUGUACUACCAGUAUUGCGGCUAACCUGCCUGGCAGUGAGAUGCAUCUAGAUUAGAUCUGAUUACUGAUAUAGAAGAUGCAAUUAAUUAUCUAAAAUUUUCCUUGUACCAUUUUCCAUGAGAUUAAUGUAAUUGGGAAUACCAGUGCUUGUUUGAAUCAUUUAGUUAAAUAAUUUUAUAGAUAAAACUUGUAUUUGUAUGUUUUGGAAUUACUAUUAUCCUGGUAAAAUGACCACAAGUGAAAGGGUUGUAAAGAUUAAUUAUUCUUUGUGGAAGCAUUACUGGUCUAAUUAAUAGAUGUACAUGCAUCAAUAAUGUUGUUGAGCUUUAGUUGAUUCUAUAGUGUUGUACUAUUCGCAAAGUUCUAUUUUGAGAAAAAAAUGGCAAAUUCAAUAUUGUGCCAGCUAAAUGGCGCACCCGCUGUAGCAAGUGAGUUCCCAUCAAAAUCACCCUGAGCAUAUUUUUGCUGAUUUUCAUGAUUGCUCUUCUGCCAGGAACAAUGUUCCUGGCACUUCGACCACACAACUGUAUGUUCAUGUUCCAGUGUCCUUAUUCAUAGUUAAUUUCAAUCACAAAGUGACAAAUGUCAGUCUAUUAGUUAACAUGUGUAUCUCCGUUUCUUCUAAGUUUCAAUCGACCUACUCUGAAGUUGUUCCUAAGAUAGUGCCUCAAGCAAAGGGAAUGAGCCUCAGUUAGUGCAUCUAGCAAGUUCGUGAUCCUUUGUUGGGAUAAACAUUUGUGCAAGAGCAAUAGUCUCGUCACUAUUGGUUGUUAGUACUGUUGCUUGUUAAUUCUACUUUUUACUUCAGUUCGUAAUGCAAUAUAGUUAUGCUUGACGCACUAUAAGAAGACUGCCAUUUUGCCUUUUGACCUUGGUUUCUUCCUCCAGUAAGUAAAUGCACAUAGUUCUUUUGUAAAUUAGAGCAUACGACUUGUUGAUCGAUCUCUGAGCUCAGUAAUAAUAUUAAGCCUCAAUCUGUUUAUUGUGCACACAAGAUGAGAAAGAAUUGCUACCCAAGAAUAUGUACUUUAUAAACAUUUCAACUGUAAUCUGGAAAAAAAUUAAAUAAAUAAGGAAACAGUAUAUUCAUAUAUCUUUUUUGUACUUUGAUGGUGUCACACCACAAGUUCCGAGAUGGUAAUUGUGCUGCAUAUGUCUGCUCUCUUACUUUGUUUUUCUGAACAGGUAGGUUCUGGAAGAUGUCAUGAAGAAUUUCUUUCAGAGAAUUUGCGUGAGGAGUGUCUAAAUGAUUUUUAUCUUCUGAACAUAUUCUUGUAUGACUAACUGAAUUCAUUUUUUCAAAACGUCGGUACUUUUCCUUUUUCAUUUAUGUUGCUCGAUUGAGUCCACAUGCCUGCCCUUACUGAGUUUGCUCAAGAGUAAGAUAAACUUGAUAUUUAUGUUUGUCGGCAGCAGCGUGACUAGCUGAUCUGUAGCGGCGCGGAAGGUGAGCUUGGCUGCAGGUAGCAGCUCCUUUGGCUGAUCUGCGGCGAUGCAGAAGUUGGGUUGGAAAGAAGCACGACCGGCUGCUCUGAAGUGGGACGUAGGGAGAGCUUCGUAAGAGAUAGGGAGGGAGCUCUAUUGGCCCGUGCAUGACAUCCAACCCAAUGGCAUCAUGCCCUGGUAAGCUUCUUAUCUGUUCCAAUUCUUGCACUUGGUCUUUUUCUUUCUAACCCUAAAAAUAGAGUGUGCCUUGAUUCCUAAUCAUGCUUUAAAAGCUGAUAUCCACCUCGUUUAUCUUGCUACUAGUGGUAAUGUGUGCAAGUAUGAUUUUGUGAUAAUGCCAGAUGUUGUGUGCCUUCUUUAUUCAUGGUACGAGUACUCUAACCUGGCUCGUAUGAUAAUGUAUCACUGCUAUAGAGCACAAACGACGUGUUUUUUAAUUAUAUUUUAGUUGACAUGGAUUUCAUUUAUCUUGUGAAUUGUAUAGUCAGAUCAUGAAUUUUUAUGAUUGAUUGAUUUUCAUGGUCACAGGUAGGCAUGGUUGUGUGGCCACGGGGAAAAUGGAGCAAGUAGCAUGUGAGGAGUUUAACAAAUGGGGACAAGGGACAGUUUAGUUAAUUAAGGCUCUAUGUUAGUUUCAAGUUUUAUCCUUGUUGCGGUAAAAAAUUAUGGUUGGAUUAACCACCAUGUACAUCUUUAAUUACUUUUAAAUAAGAAAUAUAAUCAAAAUAUUCUUUUGAAUUGAUAAAAUUUAUAUAAUUUGUACAAGUACAUGAAGGUGGAACAGGAGGAAGGGUGGGAGAAGAUUAGAUAUCGUUUCAUUUUCUUGCAAGGAAAGGAUGGUUACGAAGAAAUGACAAGAAAUGGAGGGACAAUCAGUUUUAUUACUGUAUGGAUGGAAACCACAUGCCAGCUUGUCCAACAUAUUUCUACAUUGAGUCAAUUAUUCAAUCGCUAUAUUUUUUUUAUUCCAUGGCAAUGCAUGGUCAUUCAACUAUUCAAAUUUACGG
Molecule: long non-coding RNA, 3370 nt
Filed under: Triticum aestivum (bread wheat)
Lineage: Eukaryota; Viridiplantae; Streptophyta; Magnoliopsida; Poales; Poaceae
Description: long non-coding RNA (TAES_LNC003952)
Source: RNAcentral